GCCACGCAUGAUCGGGGUUGUACCGGCCUCCGGAGGCCGGAGCGUAGGUUCAAGUCCUGCCGGGGGCACCA
RNAcentral lists this transfer RNA (71 nucleotides) under Actinomycetota bacterium. RNAcentral's name for it is "tRNA-Arg". Lineage: Bacteria; Bacillati; Actinomycetota. The record is from RNAcentral.